UACGUAGGUGGCAAGCGUUGUCCGGAUUUACUGGGCGUAAAGAGCGCGCAGGCGGUCGUUCAAGUCGCGUGUGAAAGCCCCCGGCUCAACUGGGGAGGGUCACGCGAUACUGAUCGACUCGAAGGCAGGAGAGGGUAGUGGAAUUCCCGGUGUAGUGGUGAAAUGCGUAGAUAUCUGGAGGAACACCGGUGGCGAAGGCGGCAUCCUGGACCAACACUGACGCUGAGGAGCGAAAGCCAGGGGAGCAAACGGG
RNAcentral lists this ribosomal RNA (253 nucleotides) under uncultured bacterium. Its description in RNAcentral is "partial 16S ribosomal RNA". It matches the Rfam family "Bacterial small subunit ribosomal RNA", at positions 524 to 776 of the family's 1533-position model. The record is from RNAcentral.